Oncorhynchus tshawytscha (Chinook salmon) is the source of this 473-nucleotide long non-coding RNA. NCBI's taxonomy places the organism in Eukaryota, Metazoa, Chordata, Actinopteri, Salmoniformes, Salmonidae. The record is from Ensembl.
AGGGUCAGGGGUCAGGGUCUCCAGGGGUGAGGGUUAGGGUCGCCAGGGGUGAGGGUCAGGGGUCAGGGUCUCCAGGGGUCAGGGUCUCCAGGGGUGAGGGUCAGGGUCUCCAGGGGUGAGGGUCAGGGGUCAGGGUCUCCAGGGGUGAGGGUCAGGGUCUCCAGGGGUGAGGGUCAGGGGUCAGGGUCACCAGGGGUGAGGGUCAGGGGUCAGGGUCUCCAGGGGUGAGGUUCAGGGGUCAGGGUCUCCAGGGGUGAGGGUCAGGGGUCAGGGUCUCCAGGGGUGAGGGUCAGGGGUCAGGGUCUCCAGGAGUGAGGGUCAUGGUCUCCAGGGGUCAGGGUCUCCAGGGGUCAGGGUCUCCAGGGGUGAGGGUCAGCGUUGCCAGGGGUGAGGGUCAGGGUCUCCAGGGGUGAGGGUCAGGCGUCAGGGUCACCAGGGGUGAGGGUCAGGGUCUCCAGGGGUGAGGUUCAGGG